AGUGAACGCUGGCGGUAGGCCUAACACAUGCAAGUCGAACGGCAGCACAGUAAGAGCUUGCUCUUACGGGUGGCGAGUGGCGGACGGGUGAGGAAUACAUCGGAAUCUACUUUUUCGUGGGGGAUAACGUAGGGAAACUUACGCUAAUACCGCAUACGACCUACGGGUGAAAGCAGGGGAUCUUCGGACCUUGCGCGAUUGAAUGAGCCGAUGUCGGAUUAGCUAGUUGGCGGGGUAAAGGCCCACCAAGGCGACGAUCCGUAGCUGGUCUGAGAGGAUGAUCAGCCACACUGGAACUGAGACACGGACCAGACUCCUACGGGAGGCAGCAGUGGGGAAUAUUGGACAAUGGGCGCAAGCCUGAUCCAGCCAUACCGCGUGGGUGAAGAAGGCCUUCGGGUUGUAAAGCCCUUCUGUUGGGAAAGAAAAGCAGCAGGUUAAUACCCCGCUGUUCUGACGGUACCCAAAGAAUAAGCACCGGCUAACUUCGUG
Molecule: ribosomal RNA, 492 nt
Filed under: uncultured bacterium
Lineage: Bacteria
Description: partial 16S ribosomal RNA
Rfam family: Bacterial small subunit ribosomal RNA
Source: RNAcentral